This 475-nucleotide long non-coding RNA is filed under the name Androctonus crassicauda. The record is from RNAcentral. Lineage: Eukaryota; Metazoa; Arthropoda; Arachnida; Scorpiones; Buthidae.
UAAUAAAAUACAUUUAAUAUAUAAGAAACUUCAAAUUACAUUUUACUUAUUAAAGACAUGUUAGUGUGAAAACUAUUGUUGAUCAUAGAUACAACUGUAAUUUAUUGCAUACAUUUAUAAGAAAAGGAAAUGUUAAAUUUAAUUAGCAGUCAGUGCAAAAUAAAGAUAAUGAAUUGAUUUUUUCUCAUGCAAACUCAUGAACUAUAACUAUAACCAUUGGGACAGUCCACAGAUCCCUUGGAGGUUCCAUGGAACUCUGGUUAAGAAUCCCUGCUAUAGAUAUGAUGUGUAAUUAUAUAAAUGGCAAGCGCUGUCGGCAGGAAGGGGUUUUUUAUUUAUGUAAAGUGUUUUUGAUUUCUCUUAUAGAUUCCUUUCAGUACAACAAUAAUCACAUAGCUGCUACAGAGCAUAUUAAUCCAAAGAUGUAUAAAAUACAAAGGGUUAGUUAUGUAUAAGUGGGUUUUCUUUUAGACAU